RNAcentral lists this ribosomal RNA (525 nucleotides) under uncultured bacterium. RNAcentral describes it as "bacterial SSU rRNA". It matches the Rfam family "Bacterial small subunit ribosomal RNA", at positions 984 to 1509 of the family's 1533-position model. The record is from RNAcentral.
ACAUCCACGGAAGUUUUCAGAGAUGAGAAUGUGCCUUCGGGAACCGUGAGACAGGUGCUGCAUGGCUGUCGUCAGCUCGUGUUGUGAAAUGUUGGGUUAAGUCCCGCAACGAGCGCAACCCUUAUCCUUUGUUGCCAGCGGUCCGGCCGGGAACUCAAAGGAGACUGCCAGUGAUAAACUGGAGGAAGGUGGGGAUGACGUCAAGUCAUCAUGGCCCUUACGACCAGGGCUACACACGUGCUACAAUGGCGCAUACAAAGAGAAGCGACCUCGCGAGAGCAAGCGGACCUCAUAAAGUGCGUCGUAGUCCGGAUUGGAGUCUGCAACUCGACUCCAUGAAGUCGGAAUCGCUAGUAAUCGUGGAUCAGAAUGCCACGGUGAAUACGUUCCCGGGCCUUGUACACACCGCCCGUCACACCAUGGGAGUGGGUUGCAAAAGAAGUAGGUAGCUUAACCUUCGGGAGGGCGCUUACCACUUUGUGAUUCAUGACUGGGGUGAAGUCGUAACAAGGUAAGCGUAGCGAG